AGGCUUACCGCCUUUUAAGGGUGAGAGAUUUGAAGAAACAAAAGUUCCGACAGCGCUCCAAAUAGUCUUAACUGUGAGAGGUCCCUGGGGAAUUGGGGCGAUUCGUGAUUGGUCGAAGGGGUUUUCGGGACUGUGACGCGUUCGUGCUGCUCUGAUCGCGACGCGACUAAUCUUAUUCGAUGUAGAAUGACUUUUUACAUAGACGACGAUAACUUUUAUCGGUGUGGCGUGUGGGUACUGGCUACUGGGGCGACUGGGUAUUCAUUGGAAUUCAUCGAUCUAAUGAUUCUAAUAAGAAAAAAAAACCAUGCCUCCAGUGUCACAACUGAUUAUUCCUUUACCCAUCAAAUGCCAGAUUGGCACAUAGUUCAAAUGUGGGUGCUGAAUGAACUGAUUACAUUUAUCAUCAGACAUCUCUCCCUUUCCUAUGUCUUGAAGAUGACGACAAGUUGCCAGUUGAUUUACAUGUCACCUUUACUGAUAUCCUAGCACACCAUACUUUAUUUGGCAUAAAAAAAAGGUUUCCCUUCUGGGUUUCCCUCAUUUAAAAGGCCUUGAUGAUGUAAUGGUGCUAUGCCAAAAUUUUAUCAACGUAGAGAAAUUAAAGCUGCAGCUGUGGGAAAUGGAAUUGACAAUUACAUUCAUCACAGACACAUUUCAGUUUCAGAAAGUGGAGUUUUGUCUUGAAGAUGACAAAAGUUGCCCGUUGAUUUACAUGUCACCUUAAGUGAUGUCAUAGCAGCUACUUGUCAUUUAAAUAGUUUGUUACCAUACUUUAUUUGACAUGAUUGUUUUAUAGAGUUAUUUCAUUUUGGUUUUUUUUCAGGCAUACUUCAAUUUCAGAAAAUUUUGUCUUGAAGAUGACAAGUUGCCAGUCAAUAUACAUAAAACCCUAAGUGAUAUCAUAACAGGAACUUGUCGCCCGGAAGUAUUUGAGACUUGACCAACAUGGACGACGUGCCCUGGGAGAACCUUCAACACGCACUCGCCCUCCUUGCGUUCCCUUCUGACACUCGGGUAUCACCACACAAGGAGUUGCUCGAUGCGUCGAGGUGGAAUGCCUCGAUUGAAAAAUUUCGUCAAGACUAUUUCCGCCUCUAUCAGUUGGCUCCAUUGUCUGUGUUGGCUGUUGCGUUGCAAGCUGGUCUCUCCACAAUGAAAACUCCGCAAUGUUAUCGCCCAAUGGAUCAGAGGAAUGUUGAAUGUCCCAUGUGCCAAGAACUAUUGAACAAGUUUGCUGAACGAUUACUCACGCUCAUUGCUCACAAUCAAGAUAGAUCUGUCGCUUUUCGGGCUUAUCUCUUAACGAACAUAACUUACCUAUGAUGCUACCCAACGGUCGUGUGUACGGAGAGCAGACAUUUAUCAGUUUUCGUGCACAAGUUCAACCAUAUUGUGUUUGUUUUUGAAUCAAUAGGCCUUGCGGACUAUACCUGUGCUCGCAGCAAAGAAGUCUUCGCUGUCAAAGAUGUAGAGAAAGUUUAUGUUAUGUAGUGUUUUUUAUGUACUUAGUAAUACAUUAUUUUCGUGAA
This 1532-nucleotide long non-coding RNA is filed under the name Daphnia pulicaria. RNAcentral describes it as "uncharacterized LOC124318666, transcript variant X2". The record is from RNAcentral. Lineage: Eukaryota; Metazoa; Arthropoda; Branchiopoda; Diplostraca; Daphniidae.